Molecule: ribosomal RNA, 330 nt
Filed under: uncultured bacterium
Lineage: Bacteria
Description: bacterial SSU rRNA
Rfam family: Bacterial small subunit ribosomal RNA
Source: RNAcentral
CGCGUAGGUGGUAGUGAAAGUCUAUGGUGGAAUCUUAGGGCUUAACCCUAAAACUGCCUUGGAAACUUCAUUACUUGAGUCAGUGAGGGGAGGGUAGAAUUCCUGGUGUAGCGGUGAAAUGCGUAGAUAUCAGGAGGAAGGCCGGUGGCGAGGGCGGCCCUCUGGCGCUGAACUGACGCUGAGGCGCGAAAGCGUGGGUAGCAAACAGGAUUAGAUACCCUGGUAGUCCACGCCCUAAACGGUGGGUACUAGGUGUAGGGCUCGUAAGGGUUCUGUGCCGAAGGGAAACCAUUAAGUACCCCGCCUGGGGAGUACGGCCGCAAGGUUGAA